UACGUAGGUGGCAAGCGUUGUCCGGAAUUAUUGGGCGUAAAGAGCUCGUAGGCGGUUUGUCGCGUCUGCCGUGAAAGUCCGGGGCUUAACCCCGGAUCUGCGGUGGGUACGGGCAGACUAGAGUGCAGUAGGGGAGACUGGAAUUCCUGGUGUAGCGGUGAAAUGCGCAGAUAUCAGGAGGAACACCGAUGGCGAAGGCAGGUCGCUGUGCUGUAACUGACGCUGAGGAGCGAAAGCAUGGGGAGCGAACAGG
This 253-nucleotide ribosomal RNA is filed under the name uncultured bacterium. RNAcentral describes it as "partial 16S ribosomal RNA". It matches the Rfam family "Bacterial small subunit ribosomal RNA", at positions 524 to 776 of the family's 1533-position model. The record is from RNAcentral.